This 526-nucleotide long non-coding RNA is filed under the name Solanum tuberosum (potato). Its description in RNAcentral is "long non-coding RNA (STUB_LNC006460)". The record is from RNAcentral. Lineage: Eukaryota; Viridiplantae; Streptophyta; Magnoliopsida; Solanales; Solanaceae.
GGGUUACAAGAAAUGGCUGUGGUGGUGGUGGUGGUGUCUAUGUUCAUCCCAUCCUAAACAGUGCAGAAAAGGGUAACAGGCCAUAAAGAUGCAUCUUGUAAACAUAGAGAAGACAGAGGAGACUAGCAAGCAAGGACAACAACAACAUGCCAGUAAGGGAUCAUCAUAUGGAUUGGCACCUUCAUGGUGGUGGUGGUGGUGAUGGUGAUGACCCAUCUCCUUCUUUAUUUAUACUGACAAAAGCAGAACAAAUAAUUAGCCAUUAUUCAAUUAACAAAUCAAAAAACACCCACUUCCUUAUAUACUAUCUGAGUCUUGAUGAAAAAGAUGGAAUCUUUAGUAUAAAAAUGAAACUCAAAUCAAGCAAAGAACGUACCGUUGUGAGUUGUGAAAUGAACCUUCCUCUUUUCUUUUGUCAAUUGUUUAAUUAUUGCAAGCUACAAAGGAAAAGCUAUACCAAAAUGAAUCAUAAGUUGAAUUUGGGGGAAAUUUAUAAGACUUGUGAAUGGCGUUGGGUCGAACAGAG